RNAcentral lists this ribosomal RNA (1282 nucleotides) under human gut metagenome. RNAcentral describes it as "bacterial LSU rRNA". It matches the Rfam family "Bacterial large subunit ribosomal RNA", at positions 1100 to 2451 of the family's 2925-position model. The record is from RNAcentral.
GUUGGCUUAGAAGCAGCCACUCAUUUAAAGAGUGCGUAAUAGCUCACUAGUCGAGUGAUUGUGCGCCGAAAAUGUAACGGGGCUAAAAUUCAUACCGAAGCUUAGGAAUGAUAGUAAUAUUGUUGGUAGAUGAGCGUUGUGUAAGUCUGCGAAGCUACACCGAAAGGAGUAGUGGAGAUAUCACAAGUGAGAAUGCCGGAAUGAGUAGCGAGAAUUAUGUGAGAAUCAUAAUGGUCGAAAAUCUAAGGUUUCUUGAGGAAGGUUCGUCCGCUCAAGGUAAGCCGGGAGCUAAGGCGAGGCCGAGAGGCGUAGUCGAUGCACAUACGGUAAAGAUUCCGUAGCCACCGAAGUCGUUAAAUACAGGGACACAGGAACAUAGCCCAUCCCCACCGUUGGUUGAGUGGGGCGUAAGGGAGCGAAAAUUAGUAGCGAAGUGGGUGAUUGUACACUGGCGAGAAAAGCUGUAUGGAUUGACAAGGUGCCCGUACCGCAAACCGACACAGGUAGAUGAGGAGAGAAUCCUAAGACCAGCGGGAGAAGUGUUGUUAAGGAACUCGGCAAAAUGACCCCGUAACUUCGGGAUAAGGGGAGCCUACGCGAGUAGGCCGCAGAGAAUAGUCUCAAGCGACUGUUUAGCAAAAACACAGGUCUAUGCUAAAUCGAAAGAUGAUGUAUAUGGGCUGACGCCUGCCCGGUGCUGGAAGGUUAAGGGGAAGUGUUAGAGCAAUCGAAGCACUGAACUUAAGCCCCAGUAAACGGCGGCCGUAACUAUAACGGUCCUAAGGUAGCGAAAUUCCUUGUCAGGUAAGUUCUGACCCGCACGAAUGGCGUAACGAUUUGGGCACUGUCUCAACAGCCAACCCGGCGAAAUUGUAGUACCGGUGAAGAUGCCGGUUUCCCGCAACUAGACGGAAAGACCCCAUGGAGCUUCACUGUAGCUUGAUACUGGACUUCGAUAUUCCAUGUACAGGAUAGGUGGGAGGCUUGGAAGCAUGUGCGCCAGCAUAUGUGGAGCCGCCCUUGGGAUACCACUCUUGGGAUAUUGGAGUUCUAACCUGCGGCCAUGAAUCUGGUCGGGGGACACUGUCAGGUGGGCAGUUUGACUGGGGCGGUCGCCUCCCAAAAGGUAACGGAGGCGCUCAAAGGUUCGUUCAGCACGGAUGGAAACCGUGCAUUGAGUGUAAACGCAUAAACGAACUUGACUGCGAGACUGACGGGUCGAGCAGGAACGAAAGUUGGAGUUAGUGAUCCGGCGGUAUGUGAAUGGAAAUGCCGUCGCUCA